GAUGAAGAACGCAGCGAAAUGCGAUACGUAAUGUGAAUUGCAGAAUUCAGUGAAUCAUCGAAUCUUUGAACGCAUAUUGCGCUCUCUGGUAUUCCGGAGAGCAUGCUUGUUUGAGUAUCAGUAAACACCUCAACUUCCAUAUCUUUUUUUGAAAUGGGAGUUGGACUUGAGUGAUCCCAACGCUUUUCCUCACCGAAAAGUGGCGGGUUACUUGAAAUGCAGGUGCAGCUGGACUUUUCUCUGAGCUAUAAGCAUAUCUAUUUAGUCUGCCUAAAAAACAGAUUAUUACCUUUGCUGCAGCUAACAUAAAGGAGAUUAGUUCUUGUGCUGACUGAUGCAGGUUUCACAAAGACAGCUUCGGCCGACUUUGUAAACUCGAUCUCAAAUCAAGUAAGACUACCCGCUGAACUUAAGCAUAUCAAUAAGCGGAGGA
This 433-nucleotide unclassified non-coding RNA is filed under the name soil metagenome. RNAcentral describes it as "partial contains 5.8S ribosomal RNA, internal transcribed spacer 2, and large subunit ribosomal RNA". The stretch from base 1 to 120 matches the Rfam family "5.8S ribosomal RNA", at positions 35 to 154 of the family's 154-position model. The record is from RNAcentral.